CGCCCGCUGGCCGACGGGGCAGGUGCUCGUUCCGACCGGGUCGAUCGAGACGGCGGAGUAGUCGCCCCAGCGUUCGACGGUGUCGGAGGACGG
RNAcentral lists this transfer RNA (93 nucleotides) under Streptomyces jeddahensis. RNAcentral describes it as "tRNA-Arg". Lineage: Bacteria; Bacillati; Actinomycetota; Actinomycetes; Kitasatosporales; Streptomycetaceae. The record is from RNAcentral.